Molecule: non-coding RNA, 678 nt
Organism: Phyllostomus hastatus (greater spear-nosed bat)
Lineage: Eukaryota; Metazoa; Chordata; Mammalia; Chiroptera; Phyllostomidae
Source: the annotation of a RefSeq genome assembly
CCGCCCUGUGGGGACAAAGGAUGUCCCUCCUCCUCUGCUCCUGCUCACAAGGACCGGACCUGGGGAACCUCCCACUCCUGACCUGACCCUGCCAUGGGCACCAGGCUCCUCUGCUGGGUGACCCUCUGUCUGCUGGGGGCAGGUCACACAGAGGCUGGAGUUUUUCAGGCCCCCAGUCACAUAGUCACCAAGAGGGGACAGAAUGUGACAUUUCGGUGUGAUCCUAUUUCUGGCCAUGUUGGCCUUUACUGGUACCAACACGUGCCAGGGCAGGGCCCGAAGUUCUUGGUGUACUUUCAAAACGAGGAACCCCUGGACACCUCCGGGAUGCCUAAGGAUCGGUUCUUCAUUGUGAGACCUGACGGCUCCUACUCCAAUCUGACCAUCCAGCCUGCAGAGCCUGGGGACUCGGCCGUGUACCUCUGUGCCAGCAGUGCAACCACAAGCAACGGGAGGACAAAACCUCAUCCCGAAGACCAGAUCCCCGAGAGGGACAUGGUCAGUCUUGUGCUGCCGGAAUCCUCCAGGGGCUCUUGGCUCCUCUGCUGUGUGGCCUUGUGUCUCCUGGGUGCAGGGUCAGUGGCGGCUGGAGUCACCCAGUCCCCAAGACACCUCAUCAAAGGUCAUGGAGCCCAGGAGGCCUGCACCCUGGAGCAGCCAGAGCUGCAGACGUGCUAA